Molecule: ribosomal RNA, 483 nt
Filed under: uncultured bacterium
Lineage: Bacteria
Description: partial 16S ribosomal RNA
Rfam family: Bacterial small subunit ribosomal RNA
Source: RNAcentral
GACGAACGCUGGCGGCGUGCCUAACACAUGCAAGUCGAGCGGGGAUUUAAGUGGAAGUUCUUCGGAAUGGAGCUUUAAAUUCUAGCGGCGGACGGGUGAGUAACGCGUGAACAAUCUGUCCCGGACAGGGGGAUAACACUUGGAAACAGGUGCUAAUACCGCAUAAGACCACGGCCUCGCAUGGGGCUGAGGUAAAAGGAGCAAUCCGGUUCGGGGUGAGUUCGCGUCCGAUUAGCUAGUUGGUGAGGUAACGGCCCACCAAGGCGACGAUCGGUAGCCGGCCUGAGAGGGUGAACGGCCACAUUGGAACUGAGAGACGGUCCAAACGCCUACGGGAGGCAGCAGUGGGGAAUAUUGGGCAAUGGGCGAAAGCCUGACCCAGCAACGCCGCGUGAGGGAAGAAGGUUUUCGGAGUGUAAACCUCUGUCCUAUGGGACGAAGGAAGUGACGGUACCAUAGGAGGAAGCCCCGGCUAACUACGUG